UCCUGUACUUCUGGUUACUGCGAUGGAGGGACGGAGAAGGCUAGGCCAGCUUGGCGUUGGUUGUCCAAGUUUAAGGUGGUAGGCUGAAAUCUUAGGUAAAUCCGGGGUUUCAAGGCCGAGAGCUGAUGACGAGUCGUCUUUUAGAUGACGAAGUGGUUGAUGCCAUGCUUCCAAGAAAAGCUUCUAAGCUUCAGGUAACCAGGAACCGUACCCCAAACCGACACAGGUGGUCGGGUAGAGAAUACCAAGGCGCUUGAGAGAACUCGGGUGAAGGAACUAGGCAAAAUGGCACCGUAACUUCGGGAGAAGGUGCGCCGGCUAGGGUGAAGGAUUUACUCCGUAAGCUCUGGCUGGUUGAAGAUACCAGGCCGCUGCGACUGUUUAUUAAAAACACAGCACUCUGCAAACACGAAAGUGGACGUAUAGGGUGUGACGCCUCCCCGGUGCCGGAAGGUUAAUUGAUGGGGUUAGCGCAAGCGAAGCUCUUGAUCGAAGCCCCGGUAAACGGCGGCCGUAACUAUAACGGUCCUAAGGUAGCGAAAUUCCUUGUCGGGUAAGUUCCGACCUGCACGAAUGGCGUAACGAUGGCGGCGCUGUCUCCACCCGAGACUCAGUGAAAUUGAAAUCGCUGUGAAGAUGCAGUGUAUCCGCGGCUAGACGGAAAGACCCCGUGAACCUUUACUGUAGCUUUGCACUGGACUUUGAGCCUGCUUGUGUAGGAUAGGUGGGAGGCUUUGAAGCGUGGACGCCAGUUCGCGUGGAGCCAUCCUUGAAAUACCACCCUGGCAUGCUUGAGGUUCUAACUCUGGUCCGUAAUCCGGAUCGAGGACAGUGUAUGGUGGGCAGUUUGACUGGGGCGGUCUCCUCCUAAAGAGUAACGGAGGAGUACGAAGGUGCGCUCAGACCGGUCGGAAAUCGGUCGCAGAGUAUAAAGGCAAAAGCGCGCUUGACUGCGAGACAGACACGUCGAGCAGGUACGAAAGUAGGUCUUAGUGAUCCGGUGGUUCUGUAUGGAAGGGCCAUCGCUCAGCGGAUAAAAGGUACUCCGGGGAUAACAGGCUGAUACCGCCCAAGAGUUCAUAUCGACGGCGGUGUUUGGCACCUCGAUGUCGGCUCAUCACAUCCUGGGGCUGAAGCCGGUCCCAAGGGUAUGGCUGUUCGCCAUUUGAAGUGGUACACGAGCUGGGUUUAGAACGUCGUGAGACAGUUCGGUCCCUAUCUGCCGUGGACGUUUGAGAUUUGAGAGGGGCUGCUCCUAGUACGAGAGGACCGGAGUGGACGAACCUCUGGUGUUCCGGUUGUCACGCCAGUGGCAUUGCCGGGUAGCUAUGUUCGGAAAAGAUAACCGCUGAAAGCAUCUAAGCGGGAAACUUGCCUCAAGAUGAGAUCUCACUGGGAACUUGAUUCCCCUGAAGGGCCGUCGAAGACUACGACGUUGAUAGGCUGGGUGUGUAAGCGUUGUGAGGCGUUGAGCUAACCAGUACUAAUUGCCCGU
Molecule: ribosomal RNA, 1495 nt
Filed under: metagenome
Description: bacterial LSU rRNA
Rfam family: Bacterial large subunit ribosomal RNA
Source: RNAcentral